GUAGUCGGGGGGACAACUCGGGGGAAAACUCGAGCUAAUACCGCAUAGCCCUACCGGGGGAAANCCGGGGGAACCUUCGGGCCUCGUGCUAUUAGAUGAGCCUGCGUUGGAUUAGCUAGUUGGUCGGGGUAAAGGCCUACCAAGGCGACGAUCCAUAGCUGGUCUGAGAGGACGAUCAGCCACACUGGGACUGAGACACGGCCCAGACUCCUACGGGAGGCAGCAGUCGGGAAUAUUGGACAAUGGGCGCAAGCCUGAUCCAGCCAUGCCGCGUGUGUGAAGAAGGCCUUCGGGUUGUAAAGCACUUUAAGCAGGGAGAAAAAGUUAUAGGUUAAUACCCUAUGACCCUGAUGUUACCUGCAGAAUAAGCACCGGCUAAUUCCGUG
Molecule: ribosomal RNA, 386 nt
Filed under: uncultured bacterium
Lineage: Bacteria
Description: bacterial SSU rRNA
Rfam family: Bacterial small subunit ribosomal RNA
Source: RNAcentral